Molecule: long non-coding RNA, 1472 nt
Organism: Sander lucioperca (pikeperch)
Lineage: Eukaryota; Metazoa; Chordata; Actinopteri; Perciformes; Percidae
Exons: 2
Source: RefSeq, a predicted model, not a curated record
UGUGGAGGAGGAUCAGCCAUAUCCUGAUCAUCCAGAGAGUUCCUGCUGAUGUCCACCAGAUGGCGCCAUGAUGUCACCACCAACACAGAGAUGGAAAAACAAACUGGGGACUUUGGGUUAGUUUGAUUGGUCUUCAUUUUGGUAUUUCUCUCUAAAAUAACAAAUGACAACAUUACCAAUAAUCAGUAACAUUACAAAUCAUCAUUGUCGUUUGUUAACAGUUAAAAUAACUUUUAACUGAAGUUUAAUUUCCCGUUUAUCACUGCUGGUUGUUAUAAUAAAGUAUUGCUGGUCGUCUGAUCUCUGUUGUCAGAGUGUUUCUGGUUCUACAGGAUUCUUUCUGUCUCCUCCUCUGUACGCCUCCUCCUCCUCCUCCUCUUCUUCCUCCUGAUGAAGCUGAAACAUGUUUAUUGUUGUGCUAUUAGUACUUGUACUGCAGUAACAUGUCAUCAAUGUGACAGAAAAGCUGUUUCAUUGUGUCUGUUGGAGGUUUGACUUAUUUCCCACAUUAAUAUGCGGGUCUUGGCGUAGCCAUAGUAGGAUUCGUAAAUUCGCCCACUGGAAUGAGUCACAGCUCCACCUGUCAGGAUGCAGGCAGGAAGGGCUGCAACAGGAGCAGAUUUUCAGAAUAAAAUGACAUUUGGACUGCUGUCAAUGCUCCAUUACUGACUGAAAGAUUUAAUGACUGCAGACACUAACUAGUCAUUACACAAGCUGAACAUGUUUCCUAAAAUAUGAAAUCCAUUCUUUCCUCACUGAUACCAACAGUGAAGUCUUCAACGCGAACAUGUUAAUGUGGGAGUGAAUCAAACCUCCAACAGACACAAUGAAACAGCUUUUCUGUCACAUUGAUGACAUGUUACUGCAGUAAAAGUACUAAUAGCACAGUAUGAAAUUACAGCAGCUGGCUGAGCAGAUAACUAACGUGGAGAGAAAACAGACAGACAGACAGAGAAUCUGAGCAGGACAUUACAGAGGAGCGGCUAACUAAUGAAAUUAUGAAUUUGAAGGUAAACAGUUAAACUCAGUAAAAAUGUAUAUUUUUGUAUAUUUGAAAAUGCAAGUUUCUUAUUGAGGACAUCUCCAAAGGUUGACGCUGUAAGGAACCUCUGUAAAGAAUGCAAUCUCCUGUCUGCAUUUUAAAGGAUUUAACCCAAAACAAAGUUGCAACUUGUUUAGGCUCUUCUGAACAAAGAACAUUUUAAAGAUCAUCACUGCAUGGAGAGAUGCCUUGUUUUUGACUCACUGAAGAUCGCUACUGUUGUGCUUUCAGAAAUCCGGGCUGUAAACUGGAUGCUCUAAUUUCAUGUACAGUAUUUUGUCAAAUGUAAUUUCAAUGUUUUCAUUUGAUUUGUGAAGCUCUCUGCCUACUUUUCAGUAGCUUAUAAGUCAACUGAACUUUUUUGUUACUGUGUUGCUACUGAAAAUGUGUCAUUGUGUUCUCAUUAAAGAGUAGUAUUCCCAGACUCUCA